Molecule: ribosomal RNA, 230 nt
Filed under: Clostridioides difficile
Lineage: Bacteria; Bacillati; Bacillota; Clostridia; Peptostreptococcales; Peptostreptococcaceae
Description: partial 23S ribosomal RNA
Rfam family: Bacterial large subunit ribosomal RNA
Source: RNAcentral
GUCUCAACAACAGACUCGGUGAAAUUGUAAUUCCGGUGAAGAUGCCGGAUACCUGCGACAGGACGGAAAGACCCCAUGGAGCUUUACUGUAGCUUGACAUUGUGUCUUGGUACUACAUGUACAGGAUAGGUGGGAGGCUUUGAAACCAGGACGCCAGUUUUGGCGGAGCCAUCCUUGGGAUACCACCCUUGUAGUACUGGGACUCUAACCAUAGGCCAUGAAUCUGGUCU